UUAUAUUCAAAUCACGAAUUGAAUUAUUCUCACUCUAACGAAAAGCAUAUUCGAAAUCCCCUAUCAGACUUGGAGCUGGAGCUAACUGACCUGCUCCAGGACUUCGCUGACGUGGUUGAUGAGUUGACAGAGCCUUCACAAAGCGUCCCGUACGCAUACGAGCGGCUCCUGUCUGAUGCCAAACGGCGCACCGGGCUAGGGGACGACGGCUCAGUGGUCAGCGACAGCGGCGUGGAGGACAAUAGUGACUGCAGCAGUGAGGUGUCUCUGGGUAACAGUUGGAACACCAGUGAAGAAGAGCUCCACACUGCAGGCAUAACAGUGAUGCCCAAAGCCAGAAUGGGAGACACAGGAGACCUACAGAGAUUCAUCGACAGUUUGGACCGGGAACUUGCUGGUAUGCAUCUUAAAACAAAACAAAAAUUCAGCACAACCUGACAAUGCCAUUAUGUCCCAUUAAUUUAGUGUUUCAAUGGCUUUAUAUCCCAUUAGUCUAGUGUUUCAAUCUCUUUAUAUCCCUUUAGUCUUGUGUUUCUAUGCCAGCUGAGCUCAGUAUAUCAUGCAGUCUAUUUUCUAUUGCUGUCCCCUCACAGUUAAACCUACUAGCUGGCCUCAGUGGCCUGCACUAUUUACUGCUGGUUGGGCCUUUAAUAAUAGUAAUUCCCCUUUCCAUUGAGAUGCUAACAUGUAGAGCGGCUGGUAGCCAGUAGCCUACAAGGCGUAUAGUGCACUGCUUUUGACCAGAGCCCUAUGGGGUAAUACAUCCCUAAAGGGAAUAGAGUGCCAUUUGGAAAUCACAGCUCCCCUAGUGUCUAAAUGCAGUAUCCAGCUGAAUCCCAUAUCUCCUCUAGUGUCUAAAUGCAGUAUCCAGCUGAAUCACAGCUCCCCUAGUGUCUAAAUGUAGUAUCCAGCUGAAUCACAGCUCCCCUAGUGUCUAAAUGCAGUAUCCAGCUGAAUCACAGCUCCCCUAGUGUCUAAAUGCAGUAUCCAGCUGAAUCACAGCUCCCCUAGUGUCUAAAUGCAGUAUCCAGCUGAAUCACAGCUCCCCUAGUGUCUAAAUGCAGUAUCCAGCUGAAUCACAGCUCCCCUAGUGUCAUCCCUGCAGUAUCCAGCUGAAUCACAGCUCCCCUAGUGUCUAAAUGC
Molecule: long non-coding RNA, 1143 nt
Organism: Salmo trutta (river trout)
Lineage: Eukaryota; Metazoa; Chordata; Actinopteri; Salmoniformes; Salmonidae
Product: regulator of cell cycle RGCC-like
Source: Ensembl